RNAcentral lists this ribosomal RNA (317 nucleotides) under uncultured Paludibacter sp. Its description in RNAcentral is "partial 16S ribosomal RNA". Lineage: Bacteria; Pseudomonadati; Bacteroidota; Bacteroidia; Bacteroidales; Paludibacteraceae. The record is from RNAcentral.
GGAGUUUGGACCGUGUCUCAGUUCCAAUGUGGGGGACCUUCCUCUCAGAACCCCUACUGAUCGUCGACUUGGUGAGCCGUUACCUCACCAACUAUCUAAUCAGAAGCGUGCUCACCCAUAGUCCUUACGUUUCAUCACAAAGUCAUGCGGCUUCGUGACACAUGGAGCUUUAAUCCAACUUUCGCUGGGCUAUUCCCCGUCUAUGGACAGAUUGCACACCUGUUACGCACCCGUGCGCCGGUCGCCGCCAGAAAUAGCAAGCUACUUCCGCGCUGCCCCUCGACUUGCAUGUGUUAGGCCUGUCGCUAGCGUUCAUC